AGAGUUUGAUCAUGGCUCAGGAUGAACGCUAGCGGCAGGCCUAACACAUGCAAGUCGCGGGGUAACAAUAAGUGCUUGCACUUGGUUGACGACCGGCGCACGGGUGAGUAACGCGUAUGCAACCUGCCUUCUACAGGAGGAUAGCCCGAAGAAAUUCGGAUUAAUACUCCAUACGAUUGUCCUUACACAAGUAUAGACAAAGAAAGCUUCGGCGGUAGAAGAUGGGCAUGCGUCCUAUUAGUUAGUUGGUAAGGUAACGGCUUACCAAGGCAGCGAUAGGUAGGGGGCCUGAGAGGGUGGUCCCCCACACUGGUACUGAGACACGGACCAGACUCCUACGGGAGGCAGCAGUGAGGAAUAUUGGUCAAUGGAGGCAACUCUGAACCAGCCAUGCCGCGUGCAGGAAGAAUGCCCUAUGGGUUGUAAACUGCUUUUAUUUAGGAAGAACCCCCAGUACGUGUACUGGGCUGACGGUACUAAACGAAUAAGGACCGGCUAACUCCGUGCCAGCAGCCGCGGUAAUACGGAGGGUCCAAGCGUUAUCCGGAAUCAUUGGGUUUAAAGGGUCCGCAGGCGGAUCAAUAAGUCAGUGGUGAAAUCUCUCAGCUCAACUGGGAAACUGCCAUUGAAACUGUUGAUCUUGAAUUCGGUCGAAGUGGGCGGAAUGUGUCAUGUAGCGGUGAAAUGCAUAGAUAUGACACAGAACACCGAUAGCGAAGGCAGCUCACUAGGCCUGAAUUGACGCUCAGGGACGAAAGCGUGGGGAGCGAACAGGAUUAGAUACCCUGGUAGUCCACGCCGUAAACGAUGAUUACUCGAUAUCAGCGACAUACCAGUUGGUGUCUAAGCGAAAGUGAUAAGUAUCCCCCUGGA
RNAcentral lists this ribosomal RNA (873 nucleotides) under uncultured bacterium. Its description in RNAcentral is "bacterial SSU rRNA". It matches the Rfam family "Bacterial small subunit ribosomal RNA", at positions 9 to 873 of the family's 1533-position model. The record is from RNAcentral.